RNAcentral lists this microRNA precursor (82 nucleotides) under Aotus nancymaae (Ma's night monkey). RNAcentral describes it as "miRNA (ENSANAG00000002246.1)". Lineage: Eukaryota; Metazoa; Chordata; Mammalia; Primates; Aotidae. The record is from RNAcentral.
UGCUUGCUACUAGGUUGGUGCAAAAGUAAUUGUGGUUUUUGCAAUUUUUUAAAAAAGGCAAAACCAGCAAUUACUUUUGCAC